GCUUACGGACACACAGCCUGGUUCACGCACAAUCUCGUUUGAUCUCGGAAGCUAAGAUUGGUUGGGCCUGGUUAGUACUUGGAUGGGAGACCGCCUAGGAAUACCAGGUGCUGUAAGCC
Scophthalmus maximus (turbot) is the source of this 119-nucleotide ribosomal RNA. Lineage: Eukaryota; Metazoa; Chordata; Actinopteri; Pleuronectiformes; Scophthalmidae. The record is from Ensembl.